UACGGAGGGGGCUAGCGUUGUUCGGAAUUACUGGGCGUAAAGCGCACGUAGGCGGAUUUGUAAGUCAGGGGUGAAAUCCCGGAGCUCAACUCCGGAACUGCCUUUGAUACUGGAAAGCUUGAGUUCGGGAGAGGUGAGUGGAACUGCGAGUGUAGAGGUGAAAUUCGUAGAUAUUCGCAAGAACACCAGUGGCGAAGGCGGCUCACUGGCCCGAUACUGACGCUGAGGUGCGAAAGCGUGGGGAGCAAACAGG
This 253-nucleotide ribosomal RNA is filed under the name uncultured bacterium. RNAcentral describes it as "partial 16S ribosomal RNA". It matches the Rfam family "Bacterial small subunit ribosomal RNA", at positions 524 to 776 of the family's 1533-position model. The record is from RNAcentral.